AUGGGAACCAUUAAACCAUUCUAACCAGAGAGAGGAUAUGGUUCAUUUGUACUUGAAAAAGGUCACUCUGCUGCCAUGUGGGCAAUGGAUUGGACACAGACAAGAUUAGAGGCUGUUGCCAGAGUCCAGAUGAGAGAUAAGGGUGACCUGGAUCAGGCUGGUGGCGCCAAAGAAAGAGUGCACAGAAUCAAGGAAUAUUGAGGAGGUGGAAUCUACAGACCUGGUGACGACUGGAUGAGGAAUGGGGAUGCCCUGUUGAGGCUACAAGUGCAACCACCACUGAAUCAACCAAACAAAACUUUUUCAUGCAUCGAUUUGGUCUCCACUUCCCAAAUAAGGUCAAGAUUGAGGAUAGCAAGAAUCAGCCUCCACCAUAAAAAAGACCAAAACCCCAAAGGAUGUGAUUUUUCUUUAAAGUUGUUCACUGCAACGAGAGUUUCUAUAUUUGAGAUAUGAGGUCCAGGAGCUGAUGCAAUCUUUCUUCGUUGGGUUUCAAAAGGCAGGCAGGUGAGUUUCCAUUUGCUCUUCCAUUUUCUCCCUGGCUUCGUUAUGGUGUCAGAUCAACAUUCCAAACCUCCUUCUGGACAGCGGUUGAGCCUGUGAAAAAAAGUGAUUAAAACGUAACUGAAGGACGCCCGUGUCCCUGAGUAUCAGUAUAUGAGGGAGCAAAGCGGGUGGGGGUCGGGGGCAAGGCUCUAGUUGAAGACCAAGGACUUUAAAGGCUAACGAUGACUUUGUUUUUAUACGAAGGAGAGGCAGCAGGCACCGGGCUCGCGGACUCUGGGUCCCGGGAACACCCACGCGGCUUCAAGAAGAGGGAGCGAGUCUGGAAACCGAAACCGGCCCUGGGCGCACAGACGAUGGCCUCGGGGCUUGCUCGUCCCGCCCGCUGGCCGCAGGUGCGCGAGCACCCCCACCCACCCCUGGGCGAUCUCAGCCCGGGGACCGCCCCCCCGACCCCCAGUCUCCUGUCGGGGGGCGAGGGAGGCGGGGACAGAGGUGGG
This 1004-nucleotide long non-coding RNA is filed under the name Equus asinus (donkey). Its description in RNAcentral is "lncRNA (ENSEASG00005026730.1)". The record is from RNAcentral. Lineage: Eukaryota; Metazoa; Chordata; Mammalia; Perissodactyla; Equidae.